Cucumis sativus (cucumber) is the source of this 2823-nucleotide RNA transcript. RefSeq lists it as uncharacterized. The transcript has 9 exons. The record is from RefSeq and is a predicted model, not a curated record. NCBI's taxonomy places the organism in Eukaryota, Viridiplantae, Streptophyta, Magnoliopsida, Cucurbitales, Cucurbitaceae.
AAUAAACAAAAUGUUGAGCAUAAUUGAAAUGAUGAAAUUAACAAGAGAAAGAAAGAAGGGUCAGCCGCGGGGGUUUAUAGAGGGUUUAGAGGAACCCGCGAAAUGUCCUUCCUGCCACCUCCCCAUCAAUCAACCGACUACGCAAACACAAUGCUUCGUAACAAGAUUGCUCAUACUUUACUCCGUCGAUCUCCAAUCGCCGCCGUUUCCUCUCCACUCUCCUCCCUCGGAGCACCCUCGUCCACAGUCUUUGCCUCUGAACCAACGCCUUCUCAAACUACUUGCUCCUCUUUCUCCUGUCGCCACCACGCGUUCCCCUUUUCCCUGCGGUUGUUCAAUACCAAUUCCUCUAAACACUUUCGAGAUGAAGUCAAAGAACAAAAUCCUCCUCAGUAUGGGAGGGAAGAUGAGGGAGAAACCACGGAUGGAUGGGAAGAAGACGAUGAUGAUCUGGAGCCUGAGCUUGGUGAUGGAGGGGAUGGUGGUGGUGUCGUUUUACAAGGCGUGCCAUGGGGUGAGCAUGUUCUUCUUCUUGCUCAAGAGGUCCUGCUGCAAUUUGGCGAUGACAUAAAACUGUAUUCUUUCAAGGUCACUCCACGUGGGUACAUUUAUGUCAGAUUAGAUAAACUCUCACACGAAUUUGGUUGUCCCAACCUGGAGGAGCUUGAUAGUUAUAGCAAAGAGUACAAAAAGAGAUUAGAUGAAACUGGAGCACUUGGAAAUAUUCCCGAUGAUUUAGCCCUGGAGGUAUCGUCUCCAGGUGCAGAGAGAUUACUGAAGAUUCCAGAUGAUCUGCUUAGAUUUAAAGCCACACCAAUGCGAGUUUCUUACAUUGAAGAUGUAGACUCGAGAGGCUCUGAAAAUGAUGGAGUUUUUAUGUUGGAUCAUUUAGAAUUGGAAUCUGAAAGUUGUAUCUGGAAAUUGGCAAAUGUGAGGGAAAACCGAGAUCCUUUAAGUAAGGGCAGGCCUUUGACUCGUAAGCAGAAAGAAUGGAGGUUAAAGUUACCCUAUGCAAAUCAUAAGAAGGUAUUCCUUUACCUUAAAUGCUGAGAGUCAGCUCCUCAAGGUUCAAAAGAAAGGAGGGGUCGUGUACUUAAUUCAUGAGGCUUUUAGCUCUUCAACGAAAAUAAAGUGCAGAUAUGUGGCUGUGUAUUACAUGGUGAUUGAGUAAAAUUCCUGAUGUUGGUUUGGUUUGCUGUUCAUUUGGUUUGCUGACGUUAAAACCUUCAAAAGAGUCAGACAUUACCCUUCAUGGACCAAGGAAAGCAAUUGCGCUCUCUCUCUCUCUCUCUCUAUGCGUGUGUAUGUGUUUUAGGGAUCUUGUUAUUGAUUUAAUCCUUUUUGUAAUAAGAUUUAAGGGAAACUAUUUUAACAAUAGUCACGAGAAUGAUAUUGUUUAUUUCAGAGUAACACUUAAGAGUGAUGCCAUUUUGAAAUCUAGAACAACAAAAAAGUAUAAUCAUGAGAACACUACUAUUCUUAGAAGAAUAAUACUUCUUGUCAGAUACUAGAGAGCUUGCACUUAUUUUCUCGGACGACUUAUUUCUAUUGGUUCUGUUAAAUAUAUAGCUUUUUCCUUCUAUCCUUGACCCAAUAGAGAUAAACAUCUUAUUAACUUAUGUGUAACCAAAAUUUUCUUCUCCUCUACUAGAAUUACGUUCAUCUAUGCAUGUUACACAGUAGAACCAGAGAGCUGACGUUCUUUUGGAGGAAAUCCAACUGAGCCACAGUAAUCUUAUCAUCCAUCACGACCAGAGGGCCAGCUAACAAAUUUCAAACUUGGCACAUAUUGCUUGUCACACUCGUAGAAUGAGCCAACAAGGAGUGUGUCUGUACGCUAAAGAGGGACAGGACACAUUCAACAAAGGUAGAGCCAAGAUACAUAUUAUCAAUCAAAAGGAAGUGUCCACAUUGCCAUGUUGGGCAGGCCUCUCGGCUGUAGAGAUAGAUAGCUCAUUAUGGAUAAGUGGACCACUGAUUGGUUUUUAAUCAUUUCUAAGAAAGAAAAUUCAUGUUGCAUCAUGUGCUUUGGACAUAUCUUUUUUCACUAAUUGACACAAACAAAUUUAGGUCAUUCAAUUCCAACCCCAUUCAGCUUGGGUAUUGUAGUUAUUCUGGUUUUUGCAUGAGCAAGUCUCUUUCAUGAGUACCUACUUCUUAUGUACACUUUGCACCUCUCCUCAAUAAAAAAGUUACCUGACAUCAGAAGAAAACAACUUGGGGGAAAUUUUAGAGGUAUUAAAUAAUUUCCUUUCUGGCUUAUUCUUGGCAUGUUUUGUUGUGGUUGCAGGGCCUAGUUUUUGAUGAGGAUCUAGCCAAACGUGGAUGCUUUUUUCAGUGGGAUUCUUUCUUUUGUCUGACAGCUUCUUCAUCUUUAUCCACUCAAUGCCACCAAAUGACUUUCCUCUUCUGCCAUUUUCCUCCCAUGGAACUCAUGGAGGUUGUUAUAGGAAACUUUGCCUCAUCAGCAGCUAUCUCAUAAAUGAGUAAAUCGUUUUGGGAUUGAAGUUUCAAGUUCAAGUUGUGAGACUUCUACUCUACAACUCCUUCGACAGUCGACAUUACCAAUUGGAAUUAUAAAUCUUUAGGCACAUUAUGAUUAGGCAACAUUAAGAUUAGUAUGAAAGUUUAAAUGUUAUUACCUUUUGGUUUUGGUUCAUUCUUUAUAACUAUCUUGAUUCGUUUUGUGCAUAUAGCAAUUAGGAUAAACCAAAGUUGGGAAGAUUGAAUCUAAAAUUUAAAGCCGAAAUUAGUAAAAUAUUCUGUAAUGUAGUAGAACUCAAUUUGAAGAAGCAAAGAUGGAAAUUUUGUGGAUUUCUUUAA